This 232-nucleotide long non-coding RNA is filed under the name Hordeum vulgare. RNAcentral describes it as "long non-coding RNA (HVUL_LNC020672)". The record is from RNAcentral. Lineage: Eukaryota; Viridiplantae; Streptophyta; Magnoliopsida; Poales; Poaceae.
ACAAAAAAUGGUAAACCAACAAUGUACACGUAGGCCAAAAUCUAAAAACAUAAAUUUGUUUGAACUGCCAAUUUCUUCUACGAAAAAGGCACAAAAAGGUCUGGAAACUAUAUUAGUCAACCAGUGCAUGCAAAUUUAUACAAAGAACCUGCAUUAGAACAAGUACUAAAGCAGACUUAACAUAUUACAUAAAACACCCUGGAACUACAAAUAAAAAAGCAAUCCGAUCCCU